AUUGAACGCUGGCGGCAGGCCUAACACAUGCAAGUCGAGCGGAUGAAGGGAGCUUGCUCCUGGAUUCAGCGGCGGACGGGUGAGUAAUGCCUAGGAAUCUGCUUGGUAGGGGGGGAUAACGUCCGGAAACGGGCGCUAAUACCGCAUACGACCUGAGGGAGAAAGUUGGGGAUCUUCGGACCUCACGCUAUCAGAUGAGCCUAGGUGGGAUUAGCUAGUUGGUGGGUUAAAGGGCUACCAAGGCGACGAUCCGUAACUGGUCGGAGAGGAUGAUAAGUCACACUGGAAGUGAGACACGGUCCAGACUACUACGGGAGGCAGCAGUGGGGAAUGUUGGACAAUGGGCGAAAACCUGAUCCAGCCGUGCCGAGUGUGUGAAGAAGGUCUUCGGAUUGUAAAGCACUUUAAGUUGGGGGGAAGGGCAGUAAGUUAAUACCUUGCUGUAUUGACGGUACCAGGAAAAGAAGCACCGGCUAACUACGUG
RNAcentral lists this ribosomal RNA (484 nucleotides) under uncultured bacterium. RNAcentral describes it as "partial 16S ribosomal RNA". It matches the Rfam family "Bacterial small subunit ribosomal RNA", at positions 30 to 507 of the family's 1533-position model. The record is from RNAcentral.